Molecule: long non-coding RNA, 508 nt
Organism: Ahaetulla prasina
Lineage: Eukaryota; Metazoa; Chordata; Lepidosauria; Squamata; Colubridae
Exons: 3
Source: RefSeq, a predicted model, not a curated record
CCCAAACACACCGCGCGCCCAACCCGGGGCCACCAGGCCAAGCCAGAGCCGAACUGCAUUCACAAAGAACCUCUCUGUGGAAGAAGCCCUCCACCUAUUUCUCCCUCUUCAGUUGCCGGGAGUUGUGACUAAGGAUGAACCCAUCUAAAGUGAUGGAGACAAGUAGUUCCACUGGUUUACUGUUCCCACUGUCAGGAAUAACAGAAUAAUGGAAGGGACCUUGGAGGUCUUCUAAUCCAACCCCCUGCUCAAGCAGGAAACCUAUCCCAUCGCAGACAAAUGGUUGUCAAGUCACUUCUUGGAAUCCUCCAAUGUUGGAGCAUCCACAACUUCUGCAGGCAAGUUUUCCCACGGAUUCAUUGUCCUCGCUGUCAGGAAAUUUCUCCUUAAUUCCAAGUUGCUUCUCGCCUUGAUCAGUUUCCACCCGUUGCUCUUUGUCCUGCCUUCAGGUGCUUUGGAGGAUAGCUUGACUCCCUCUUCUUUGCGGCAGGGUUACAGUUAGGAUAAA